This 746-nucleotide ribosomal RNA is filed under the name uncultured bacterium. Its description in RNAcentral is "bacterial SSU rRNA". It matches the Rfam family "Bacterial small subunit ribosomal RNA", at positions 43 to 782 of the family's 1533-position model. The record is from RNAcentral.
UGCGCNGCCUAAAUGCAAGUCGAGCGGAUGAGGGGAGCUUGCUCCCUGAUUUAGCGGCGGACGGGUGAGUAAUGCCUAGGAAUCUGCCUGGUAGUGGGGGAUAACGUUCCGAAAGGAACGCUAAUACCGCAUACGUCCUACGGGAGAAAGCAGGGGACCUUCGGGCCUUGCGCUAUCAGAUGAGCCUAGGUCGGAUUAGCUAGUUGGUGAGGUAAUGGCUCACCAAGGCGACGAUCCGUAACUGGUCCGAGAGGAUGAUCAGUCACACUGGAACUGAGACACGGUCCAGACUCCUACGGGAGGCAGCAGUGGGGAAUAUUGGACAAUGGGCGAAAGCCUGAUCCAGCCAUGCCGCGUGUGUGAAGAAGGUCUUCGGAUUGUAAAGCACUUUAAGUUGGGAGGAAGGGCAUUAACCUAAUACGUUAGUGUUUUGACGUUACCAACAGAAUAAGCACCGGCUAACUUCGUGCCAGCAGCCGCGGUAAUACGAAGGGUGCAAGCGUUAAUCGGUAUUACUGGGCGUAGAGCGCGCGUAGGUGGUUCGUUAAGUUGGGUGUGAAAGCCCCGGGCUCAACCUGGGAACUGCAUCCUUAACUGGCGAGCUAGAGUNACGGUAGAGGGUGGUGGUAUUUCCUGUGUAGCGGUGAAAUGCGUAGAUAUAGGAAGGAACACCAGUGGCGAAGGCGACCACCUGGACUGAUACUGACACUGAGGUGCGAAAGCGUGGGGGAGCAAACAGGAUUAGA